RNAcentral lists this ribosomal RNA (429 nucleotides) under Fusobacteriota bacterium. Its description in RNAcentral is "Fusobacteria bacterium partial 16S ribosomal RNA". It matches the Rfam family "Bacterial small subunit ribosomal RNA", at positions 355 to 776 of the family's 1533-position model. Lineage: Bacteria; Fusobacteriati; Fusobacteriota. The record is from RNAcentral.
UGGGGAAUAUUGCACAAUGGGCGCAAGCCUGAUGCAGCCAUGCCGCGUGUAUGAAGAAGGCCUUCGGGUUGUAAAGUACUUUCAGUGGGGAGGAAGGGAGUAAAGUUAAUACCUUUGCUCAUUGACGUUACCCGCAGAAGAAGCACCGGCUAACUCCGUGCCAGCAGCCGCGGUAAUACGGAGGGUGCAAGCGUUAAUCGGAAUUACUGGGCGUAAAGCGCACGCAGGCGGUUUGUUAAGUCAGAUGUGAAAUCCACGGGCUCAACCUGGGAAAUGCAUCGGAUACUGGCAAGCUUGAGUCUCGUAGAGGGGGGUAGAAUUCCAGGUGUAGCGGUGAAAUGCGUAGAGAUCUGGAGGAAUACCGGUGGCGAAGGCGGCCCCCUGGACGAAGACUGACGCUCAGGGGCGAAAGCGUGGGGAGCAAACAGG